Molecule: small RNA, 29 nt
Filed under: Bombyx mori (domestic silkworm)
Lineage: Eukaryota; Metazoa; Arthropoda; Insecta; Lepidoptera; Bombycidae
Description: ovarian small RNA-21878
Source: RNAcentral
UAGAAUGUAUUUCUUUCCACCAUUGUGAA